CCUACGGGAGGCAGCAGUGGGGGAUAUUGCACAAUGGGGGGAACCCUGAUGCAGCGACGCCGCGUGUGUGAAGGAGUGCUUCGGCAUGUAAAGCCCUAUCGGCGGGGAGGAAGCAAGACGGUACCUGACUAAGAAGCCCCGGCUAACUACGUGCCAGCAGCCGCGGUAAAACGUAGGGGGCGAGCGUUAUCCGGAUUUACUGGGUGGAAAGGGAGCGUAGACGGCCAAGCAAGCCAGGGGUGAAAGCCCGGGGCCCAACCUGGGGACUGCCCUUGGAACUGGAAGGCUGGAGUGUGGGAGGGGGAGGCAGAAUUCCAGGUGUAGCGGUGAAAUGCGUAGAGAUCAGGAGGAAUACCGGCGGCGAAGGCGGCCCGCUGGACCAAGACUGACGCUGAGGUUCGAAAGCGUGGGGAGCGAACAGGAUUAGAUACCCCUGUAGUC
This 441-nucleotide ribosomal RNA is filed under the name uncultured bacterium. Its description in RNAcentral is "partial 16S ribosomal RNA". It matches the Rfam family "Bacterial small subunit ribosomal RNA", at positions 338 to 795 of the family's 1533-position model. The record is from RNAcentral.